CUUGCUUGAUGAUGAGUGAGUUUCAUACCUACGAACCGGAUACUUAUUUGGACAUAAAUAAUGUUAGUUCUGUUUAUUUUUGUACAGUUUGACUUGUUUUUGUUUUGUUUUGUGUGUAGGUUGCUUUACGAGUUAGUUGUAGUACAUUGGUGGCGUUGCGGUGGAAAAUAACAUUCAAAAGCUAAAAAAUCAAUUUCAGCAGUCUAUACCUCCGUCGGGGCAGACCCA
This 228-nucleotide long non-coding RNA is filed under the name Panax ginseng (ginseng). RNAcentral describes it as "long non-coding RNA (PGIN_LNC015110)". Lineage: Eukaryota; Viridiplantae; Streptophyta; Magnoliopsida; Apiales; Araliaceae. The record is from RNAcentral.